CCUACGGGUUGCUGCAGUGGGGAAUAUUGGACAAUGGGCGAAAGCCUGAUCCAGCCAUGCCGCGUGUGUGAAGAAGGCCUUCGGGUUGUAAAGCACUUUCAGUGGGGAAGAAAGCCUUGGGGCUAAUACCCUCGAGGAAGGACAUCACCCACAGAAGAAGCACCGGCUAACUCCGUGCCAGCAGCCGCGGUAAUACGGAGGGUGCGAGCGUUAAUCGGAAUUACUGGGCGUAAAGCGCGCGUAGGCGGUCUGAUAAGCCGGUUGUGAAAGCCCCGGGCUCAACCUGGGAACGGCAUCCGGAACUGUCAGGCUAGAGGGCAGGAGAGGAAGGUAGAAUUCCCGGUGUAGCGGUGAAAUGCGUAGAGAUCGGGAGGAAUACCAGUGGCGAAGGCGGCCUUCUGGACUGACACUGACGCUGAGGUGCGAAAGCGUGGGUAGCAAACAGGAUUAGAUACCCGAGUAGUC
This 465-nucleotide ribosomal RNA is filed under the name Vreelandella stevensii. RNAcentral describes it as "partial 16S ribosomal RNA". It matches the Rfam family "Bacterial small subunit ribosomal RNA", at positions 338 to 795 of the family's 1533-position model. Lineage: Bacteria; Pseudomonadati; Pseudomonadota; Gammaproteobacteria; Oceanospirillales; Halomonadaceae. The record is from RNAcentral.